Molecule: ribosomal RNA, 654 nt
Filed under: Salmonella enterica subsp. enterica serovar Indiana
Lineage: Bacteria; Pseudomonadati; Pseudomonadota; Gammaproteobacteria; Enterobacterales; Enterobacteriaceae
Description: partial 23S ribosomal RNA
Rfam family: Bacterial large subunit ribosomal RNA
Source: RNAcentral
GUGGGUAGUUUGACUGGGGCGGUCUCCUCCUAAAGAGUAACGGAGGAGCACGAAGGUUGGCUAAUCCUGGUCGGACAUCAGGAGGUUAGUGCAAUGGCAUAAGCCAGCUUGACUGCGAGCGUGACGGCGCGAGCAGGUGCGAAAGCAGGUCAUAGUGAUCCGGUGGUUCUGAAUGGAAGGGCCAUCGCUCAACGGAUAAAAGGUACUCCGGGGAUAACAGGCUGAUACCGCCCAAGAGUUCAUAUCGACGGCGGUGUUUGGCACCUCGAUGUCGGCUCAUCACAUCCUGGGGCUGAAGUAGGUCCCAAGGGUAUGGCUGUUCGCCAUUUAAAGUGGUACGCGAGCUGGGUUUAGAACGUCGUGAGACAGUUCGGUCCCUAUCUGCCGUGGGCGCUGGAGAACUGAGGGGGGCUGCUCCUAGUACGAGAGGACCGGAGUGGACGCAUCACUGGUGUUCGGGUUGUCAUGCCAAUGGCACUGCCCGGUAGCUAAAUGCGGAAGAGAUAAGUGCUGAAAGCAUCUAAGCACGAAACUUGCCCCGAGAUGAGUUCUCCCUGAGACUUAAAGUCUCCUGAAGGAACGUUGAAGACGACGACGUUGAUAGGCCGGGUGUGUAAGCGCAGCGAUGCGUUGAGCUAACCGGUACUAAUGAAC